AAGCAAAUGACGAGAUAUCAUUUUAGAUAUGAGAAGCACGCAUUUGAUUUAUGCGAGCAGUGUUUUACCUCAUACUUCCAUGACUCUGAUGCUU
Small nucleolar RNA from Tripterygium wilfordii, 94 nucleotides. RefSeq annotates it as small nucleolar RNA R72. Lineage: Eukaryota; Viridiplantae; Streptophyta; Magnoliopsida; Celastrales; Celastraceae. The transcript has a single exon. The record is from RefSeq and is a predicted model, not a curated record.